Regulatory RNA element from Oceaniovalibus guishaninsula JLT2003, 65 nucleotides. It matches the Rfam family "L2-Alphaproteobacteria ribosomal protein leader". NCBI's taxonomy places the organism in Bacteria, Pseudomonadati, Pseudomonadota, Alphaproteobacteria, Rhodobacterales, Roseobacteraceae. The record is from Rfam.
GGGGACCUGCGGGGCCCUUCACAUCCGGGCCGACCUGGCCCGCACAAGCAGACGGAAGACAGAAA